RNAcentral lists this long non-coding RNA (425 nucleotides) under Jatropha curcas. RNAcentral's name for it is "long non-coding RNA (JCUR_LNC000362)". Lineage: Eukaryota; Viridiplantae; Streptophyta; Magnoliopsida; Malpighiales; Euphorbiaceae. The record is from RNAcentral.
GUCGUCUGUUUUAUAAUCAGCGGCUCUCGUUUUCAUCUUUAGAUUAAUUAGGCAGAGAAAGGGAAUAUUUUGAGAGAGAGAGACGGAGGAGUAAUGUUCUUUUUUUUUUUUUUUUUUUUUUAAAUUUUUUUUUUUUUUUUGAACUUUUUUUUUUUUUUUUUAAAUUUUUUUUUUUUUUUUGAACUUUUUUUUUUUUUUUUUUUUUUUUUUUGAACUUUUUACUGUUUGAGAGUACUGAUUGCGAGCUUGGGAGUUGGGACUGAUACAGUGUGAAACGUGUGUCGACUUAUUUUUGUUGUGUUGGCGAUUUAGCACUUGUUAGGAUCCUGUACAUGGGGUUUCUGUAUUCUUUGUGUGUAGAAUUAUUUUUGCUAACGAAAUUAAUUAGCUUGAAGUUUUACAAUCUGAAAAUAUAUCGAUCUGAG